GUCCGUGGAAAAUCACCCUCAGCUUUGACCUUGGUGGUGGGGGAGCUCCAUCGCCCAAAGCCAAUGGGGCCUUUCAGCUCACUGCCUGGCCCAGUGCACGCAAGUGAAACCCAGGCCCUGACACAC
This is a small nucleolar RNA of Erinaceus europaeus (western European hedgehog), 126 nucleotides long. Lineage: Eukaryota; Metazoa; Chordata; Mammalia; Eulipotyphla; Erinaceidae. The record is from Ensembl.